RNAcentral lists this ribosomal RNA (380 nucleotides) under uncultured bacterium. RNAcentral describes it as "bacterial SSU rRNA". It matches the Rfam family "Bacterial small subunit ribosomal RNA", at positions 521 to 896 of the family's 1533-position model. The record is from RNAcentral.
UAAGACAGAGGAGCCAAGCGUUGUCCGGAUUGACUGGGCGUAAAGCGCACGCAGGCGGCUCUGUGCGUGGGGUGUGAAAGCUCUUGGCUUAACUGAGAGAGGCCAUCCCAUACGGCAGAGCUCGAGCCAUGCAGAGGUCCGCGGAAUUGCCGGUGUAGUGGUGAAAUGCGUAGAGAUCGGCAGGAACACCCAGGGGGAAACCAGCGGACUGGGCAUGUGCUGACGCUCAGGUGCGACAGCGUGGGGAGCGAACCGGAUUAGAUACCCGGGUAGUCCACGCUUUAAACGAUGGACACUCGGCAUUUGGCGCCGAUUAAUCGGCGCUGGGUGCCCAAGCUAACGCGGAAGUGUCCCGCCUGGGAACUACGAGCGCAAGCUUA